Molecule: long non-coding RNA, 3810 nt
Organism: Canis lupus familiaris (dog)
Lineage: Eukaryota; Metazoa; Chordata; Mammalia; Carnivora; Canidae
Exons: 2
Source: RefSeq, a predicted model, not a curated record
CCCAGCGUGCGGGCUCCGGGGCCGCCACCGAGCCGGGACGAGGGCGUGCAGGCCGGUGACUUCCUUCAUCCGAGGGACACCCCAGAUCCGCUGCCAUUUUAUGACCGAGGCUAAGUGGCGGCGACACGUGCACAGGUGGUAAGAGGCCAAGCUGUCAGGCUGAAAACGGCUUCUUUCUUUUCCUGCCGCGGAAGUGGGGGCGACACGAGGCAGCAUCCAGGCAGUGUGGUCCUGGUCCUCUGCUGUCCCUUGUCCACGCACAGGGAGGACCUUUGGUCCCUGCCCAGAGCCUCAGGUUCCAAGGCCUGGAAGCUGGUGGGGAGCCCUUGGGAGGAACUGCUGAGGACGUUGGAGGUCGCCUUCCUGUGUAGGCCUCCUAGGCCCCCAGACACUACCCUGCCCCCGGGAAAGGUGGCCCCCAACACUGACUGCUGCCCCCCACCCCCAUGUGGAUGGCAUCACAGCACAGCAGUGAGGUGGCUCUAAGGUGAGCAUGUUUGGGGUGUCUCUCUAGAGGGGUGUAUGCCCAUCUGAAGCCCUUUCUCACAUGCAGCCUCACAACAGGUGCUGAGUUAUUCCCCUCCCUUUACAGGUGAGGAGGUAGGGGCUCUGGUUAGGUGAGGUGCUGUUGGUGUUAAGGUCCCUCAUCUUCUGGGAGACUGACUGGGGGUUCCCAGACCCUUGGGACUCCAUCUAGAAAAUGCCCUGGGGGGCAUAUUCCAGCAGCCCUCGAUAAAGAGCUUCAGAUUACCCCAGGGAGCCUAACUGGGCAGGGGAGAUAAGCCCUAGGGAGGUUUAUCUGAGCCCUGAGGCCAGACUCAGGGGACUGGGCCCUACUAAAUGGACCCCAAAGAGCACAACAGCGGGGUGGGAUUGCUGCUGUGAAGGGCCUCUUCUCCCCACUCCCCCUGCCCCCCACCAGGGGAUCCACCCAUGAGCACCUGUGCUUGCUCACCUCCAUAGGUUUCCUCCUGCCUAGAAUACCCUCUGUCCCCAGCUCUCCACUGCCUGUCCCCAAGGCCCAGAUCCUCUUCUGCCUCCUUUAGCUCCACCCUGCCCCACGGGCAACACCCUCUCUGAGUUCCCAUGGCAGUUCUCAUGGGUCCUUUUUCCAUUCCAUGCUCAGGGAAUACCACACAACGUUCUGGGUGCCAAGGAGCAAGGGGCCCAAUGCCUGGUCCCUGUCCUUGGAUGGUGGGUUGCUGCUGCAGUGGGUUAUAAACUGUAGGAAGACAGAACCAGUUCCUAGCUCCCUUUGGCGCCCCCCACCGACUCUCUCACACACGCGUGUGCGCGCACACACACACACACACACACACUAGGUGCUCUUUGAAUGUCUCUGGCUGAUGGUGAUCUCUGAGCUUCCUUCCUGCCAUGCCAGCAAGCAGCACAAGGAGCCUGAGCUUGAAAAAUGGAGGCACUCAGAGAUCUUGUGGCAUUCUUGGAAGGACCCUUGGAUGCAUCCAGCAGCCUUCCAUAGAGACCUGGAGGGCCUCUCUGUGGGGCUCCCCAUGAACUGAAGAGAGAUGAAGGCUGACCUGACCAAAGACUAUAGUGGGAAGAAUAUUCUAAAGGGAGCAUGAACUUCUGCAAGAGAACAUCGGAGCCCUCAUGGGGACAGGGAAGUAGGCAGGUGAAUGCCCUGCUGAAGUCCAAGAGGCCCACCGGCUCUGUUGGCCUCGGUGGCUUGCUGGUCUGUCUCCCCCUGGAUUGGGAGUGCCUUGAGUGGAAGCUUAUCUGGCAAGGGGUCUCGUGGGGGUGAGGGCUCAAAAAAUGUCUCCUGAAUACUCUGGGGGCCAAACUUUUGGAAGCAGAUGGGCCCCGUCCUGAUCUAGGGGAGAGGAUGAUGUGUUGACAUUGGCUCAGUGCCUUCUCUUUGCCAGCCUCGUGUCUGAUCAGGCCAAGGGCAGAGCAGUGAGAACCAUCCUUUAAGAGAUUUGGCAGAUCGUGUUACUUCUCUGCUCAGCAUGCCACCCCACCGCCAUUCUCCCCUGGUGGCCUCCUCUCUUCCCCUCAAAGAGAUUAGGCGGGGUCCUCAGGCCAGCUGGCCGGCCGUCCUUGCUGUUCCCUCUGCCUGGACCCUGGGCAUCCCUGUGGCCCUCCCAGCCUCCCUCAGGUACUUGCUGAAUACCAUCAUCUCUGUGAGACCCACCCCAUCAUCCCUCAUCCCUCAUCCAUGCACCAUGUCCUAUUUCUUUUCUGUUUUUUUAGAAGUGUUUCUCUCCUAACAUGCCGUAAACCCACUUUCCUGUUUAUUGCAUAUUAACUGUCCGCUCCCACAGAAAUGUGAGCCCCCCUGUGGCAAGGACUGUCCCCCUUGGCCUAGGUCUGUCUCAUUCAUUGCUGUAUUCUCAGUGCCUAGAGCAGUGUCUGGCACACAGUUGAGUGAACGCACUCUCAUUCUUACCCUUCAUCACCAACUUCAGCCUCUCCGGGAAGCUUCCCCCAUGGCUCUUGACCAUCUCUGCUAUCCUUGCCUGCCCCAGAGCUGGCGUGGUGCUGGGACAGAGGAUGUGCCUGGUGCAUGCACUGCUGGAUGUCUGGGCCUAGGGUUGCCAAAUAUUCUCUUUAUGGAGCCGCUGGUGUCAGCCUCCUGAGAUUGCCCCUUUUUCUGGAGACAAGGCUAGCCCUUUGGCGAAGAAGACAAGAGUAUCCAGGAAGAAAAUAUAGGUUCAUCUCCUCCUUGGGCCAGAGAGGAGAGGAACCGUUGUGCACUCUCAGUUUCUUGGAUUGAUCCGACAUUUAUAGGCUAGGACAGAACACAUCCAUUUCCAGAAUAAACACCCUCAUUGACUAUGAGGAGAUGGCCACGAGAAGCCAUGUGCCCAUGCACUCUGACAGCUGGGAGCCAGGCCGCCUGGAUCUAGUGCUGCUGAGGCCCUGGAGGGUGCACCGGUAACGAGGCUGCAGUCCCGCAGGUGAUCCUGGUGCGGCAAAUGGAGGAGUUUCCCUGCCACUGUGGUGACCUCGUGGGUAAAAGCCUGUCGGAACCACCCAGAGCUGAGGUGGCAGCGGACUGUGGGAAUGGUCUGUGGGGACGAGCCACCGAGUGGGGAGGCAGGCUGGCAAAAGUGUGAUUGGGGCCUGGGAUUGGAGUUGCAAACUCUGUCUCCACUUGGCACCUUAUUUUGAACCAGUGUUGUAUGAUGUGAUAAGGUUUGGCUAAGCGGGCACUGGGCCCCCUGCACCCCAGAGCUCGGUACUCUGGCAUAAGGCUGCCCUUCUUUCAGUCCUCUGUUGAAACUCUGAGGAAUCUCUGGGUGGCUCAGCGGUUUAGCACCUGCCUUCGGCUCAGGGCGUAAUCCUGGAGUCUAGGGCUCCAGUCCCACAUCGGGCUCCCUGCAUGGAGCCUGCUUCGCCCUCUGCCUGCACCUCUGCCUGUGUGUGUGUAUCUCAUGAAUAAAUAAAUAAAAUCUUAAAAAAAAAAAGAGAGAGAGAGAAAGAAAAGAAACAUGAGCUCUCCCAAGAGGAAGAACUCUCUGAGCUCAUUGGAAUGAACUGUGGAUCCACAGGAGAUUUAACCGUGACCAGCACAACAGUGCGGAGAAGGUUCUAAAGGCAAGUGCUAAAAGAGGUUCUUAUGAGCCAAACAGCCUGACUCGAUCUGCAUCUGAAUUUUUAUGAAUAGGAAGUCACUGUCCUUCACGACACUCCAUGCCUGUUCUACAGAGCUCUGAGAAGAAAAAUGUUAGUGUGCUUACUCCUUUGCAGGAACUAACCUUAUUUCUCUUCUUACCGUGGUGACUCGGAUACUCAGACCCAUAUUCAUGACUAUAUUAUCCUCCCUGAAUAUAUUUAAGUUCUACUUUA